Mustela lutreola (European mink) is the source of this 1351-nucleotide long non-coding RNA. RefSeq lists it as uncharacterized. Lineage: Eukaryota; Metazoa; Chordata; Mammalia; Carnivora; Mustelidae. The transcript is spliced from 5 exons. The record is from RefSeq and is a predicted model, not a curated record.
GGGAUAAUGGCUGAUUCUAGGGCUGGAGAAGGGAAGGUAUAAGACAAAUCCAGCAAUCAAACAAUGAUGGCAACAUGAGGUAAGUAAUUAUGGAGCAAUAGGCAUGUUCCGUAUCAGUAUGAUUCAGUGUUUCCAGUAACGAAAAGGAGAGAUUAAUGAGUGGGACAGUGGAGUUUUCCAGAGCCCACAUGUCAUGUGACAUUACGACAGACUGAAGAUGUGACAACUGAAUGUAUGACAAUCCAGCUGGAUUCCAUAAAGCCAGACAUGUGGAUCAAAAUUCAGAGCAGCACAGCUGAGUGGCCGUGGAUGAGCCCCUUAAGAGUUUGGAAGAACCCAGCCCGGCACGUAGCAGAUUCUCAAUAGUUGGCUGAUGAGCGGCACAAACAAAUGAAUAAUUGUGAUCCUGAGCAGUAAGGGGAGUCAGCGUCGUUGACAGAGUUAUAAGCUGAUACUAUUGAAGAGAGUAGACCUUAGGAUGACAAGCCCAGCUCUCCAGAGGACAUUACUCCAGGAUGUCAACCAGACUGAACAGCUUUAACUGUGCAGAUCACCCUCGAGGCCAGGCUGAUUCUGAUUUCCAAGCCUUCAGAACCACAACAGCCAACCUCCUCGGCACUCCCAGCCAGACUGGCCUGAAGGCUGCCAAGCCCUCCGGGCUGGCUCCGCUGUCCACCCUGAAGCUUUAUGGCUUUGGCAAGUCUUUGCUCAUUCUGAGUUCAAAAAUAUUUACUAAAUGUCCUUUAUGUGUCAGGCAUUCAACCUUUUACAUAAAUUAGUUACUUAAAUUCAUUUAGGUCCAUAAAAUAAAGAUAAAAAUAGCUGUCAUACAAGGUUUAUUGUAAAAUUAAAUGAAUUCCAGUAUGUAAGUCCCCUAAUGUUUAAUCUAGUGUAUAGGAGUUCAGAAGAUGACAGCUAUUAAGAGUGAAUAUAAUGAAAUGUGAUUUUAUCCUUCUCCAAAACAAAACAUGACUUGGGAAACAUUACAGUAUUUAAAAGCCAAAUACUGAAUUUUUUGAAAUUUGCAGUUUGAAUAUUUCCUACUUCUCUCUGAACAGGAGUUAUUUAUAUUAGGUUGUAACUGCAGAUGGACUUUAUCUUUAUAUUUGACCCAACAGUACAAAAAUACAAGGAGAUAUUUCCCAAUUACAAAACUCAGGUAACAAUUCUCAUGACUCCCUAGAUUCAUAGUUGUUAAACACUCUGUCUCUCUGCUAAGAACUGCCAUUGUUGCCCAGGGAAAAUCAAUCUCUUCUAAUAUAAGGCGCUUUCAUGGCUACAAGAGCAGUAUUUUCCAAAAGCAAUCUAUGUGUAUGUAUACUUAAUCACAGGCCCUCUGAACCCAAAAUGA